Molecule: transfer RNA, 74 nt
Filed under: bacterium
Lineage: Bacteria
Also listed under: 2 other names
Description: tRNA-Gln
Rfam family: tRNA
About the family: Transfer RNA (tRNA) molecules are approximately 80 nucleotides in length. Their secondary structure includes four short double-helical elements and three loops (D, anti-codon, and T loops). Further hydrogen bonds mediate the characteristic L-shaped molecular structure. tRNAs have two regions of fundamental functional importance: the anti-codon, which is responsible for specific mRNA codon recognition, and the 3' end, to which the tRNAs corresponding amino acid is attached (by aminoacyl-tRNA synthetases). tRNAs cope with the degeneracy of the genetic code in two manners: having more than one tRNA (with a specific anti-codon) for a particular amino acid; and 'wobble' base-pairing, i.e. permitting non-standard base-pairing at the 3rd anti-codon position.
Source: RNAcentral
UGCCCCCUCGUAUAAUGGCAAUACGCCUGACUCUGGAUCAGGUAAUCGGGGUUCGAAUCCCUGGGGGGCAGCCA